Molecule: ribosomal RNA, 779 nt
Filed under: uncultured bacterium
Lineage: Bacteria
Description: bacterial SSU rRNA
Rfam family: Bacterial small subunit ribosomal RNA
Source: RNAcentral
AACGCGUAUGCAAUCUACCUUUUACAGAGGGAUAGCCCAGAGAAAUUUGGAUUAAUACCUCAUAGUAUAGUAUAACCGCAUGGUUGAACUAUUAAAGUCACAACGGUAAAAGAUGAGCAUGCGUCCCAUUAGCUAGUUGGUAAGGUAACGGCUUACCAAGGCAACGAUGGGUAGGGGUCCUGAGAGGGAGAUCCCCCACACUGGUACUGAGACACGGACCAGACUCCUACGGGAGGCAGCAGUGAGGAAUAUUGGUCAAUGGACGCAAGUCUGAACCAGCCAUGCCGCGUGCAGGAUGACGGUCCUAUUGAUUGUAAACUGCUUUUGUACGAGAAGAAACAACAUUACGUGUAAUGCCUUGACGGUAUCGUAAGAAUAAGGAUCGGCUAACUCCGUGCCAGCAGCCGCGGUAAUACGGAGGAUCCAAGCGUUAUCCGGAAUCAUUGGGUUUAAAGGGUCCGUAGGCGGUUUAGUAAGUCAGUGGUGAAAGCCCAUCGCUCAACGGUGGAACGGCCAUUGAUACUGCUAGACUUGAAUUAUUAGGAAGUAACUAGAAUAUGUAGUGUAGCGGUGAAGUGCUUAGAGAUUACAUGGAAUACCAAUUGCGAAGGCAGGUUACUACUAAUGGAUUGACGCUGAUGGACGAAAGCGUGGGUAGCGAACAGGAUUAGAUACCCUGGUAGUCCACGCCGUAAACGAUGGAUACUAGCUGUUGGGAGCGAUCUCAGUGGCUAAGCGAAAGUGAUAAGUAUCCCACCUGGGGAGUACGUUCGCAAGAA